Molecule: long non-coding RNA, 2705 nt
Organism: Canis lupus familiaris (dog)
Lineage: Eukaryota; Metazoa; Chordata; Mammalia; Carnivora; Canidae
Exons: 3
Source: RefSeq, a predicted model, not a curated record
CGUCAAGCACUCUCCUACUCAGCAUGGAGUCCAAUUCAGGGCUCAGUCCCAGGACCCUGAUAUCAUGACCUGAGCCAAAAUCAAGAGUCAGACACUUAAUUGACUGAGCCACCCAGGAGCCCUGCCUCCAUUGCCUUUAAGCUUAGAAAUUCCUCUCCCAAUAUGAUAACCACUCUGUCAUAUAUUUUAUGGUUUGCAUUAUCUUUGCAUUUAACUAAAAAAAAUUCACCUAGGACUAAUUUUGUUAAAUGGUAAAAUAAAAUGAGGAACUAACACUAGAUUCCCCUACAAAUAUUGAGCCAAUUUUUAUCCGGCACUAUUUGCAGAGUAAUUCUUCCUUUUUGCCAUAUAAUGUAAAGCAAAUUGUAUUUUAAAUAUUUUUAUAUAUCUGAAUCUGCUUUUAAGAUAUUGUUCUCUUUCCUGGCCUGACUAUCCUUGCAAGCACAUUGUUUUAAUUAUUGUAGCUUCAUAAUGUUUUCAUAUUCCAUAAGACUAGCUUGCCUCCCCCUACAACAGCCACAGUGAAAUUUCUCUUCUUUUCAAAAAUUUUAACUAUUCCUGUUUAUCCUUUCAGAUGAGCUUUACAAUUGUCUUACCAUAUCUCCUCCCAAGUGAUUAUUGGAAUCACUGUAGAGUGACAAAUUAAUUUCAGAAGAAAUGACACCAUACUAGGUUCUCCACAGACAUAGAACCAAUAGGAUGUACGUGUAUACAGAGAUUUAUGCGAAGGAAUUGGCUCACAAGAUUACGGACACUGACAAGUCUCAAAUCUGCAGGGUGAAAUCUUUGAGACAAUGGAGAUUGGGCUUGGAGCCCAACUGUUUGUUUCCAACCUCCAGCCCUUGGCAGGGACCUGGGUGCAGAGCUUGCUAUACCCUUGGGAGUUGCCCAUCCACAUGACCAUCAGGCCCGUGGAAAGCAGAGACAGAUGUCUGACUGGACUUUGCCAGGGAGCUCUCCAGCUCAAGCACGGUGGUGCAUUGGUCCAGCAGCGUCAGACCUGAGCCGGAAUAAGGAACAAUUAUUUAAAAGUCACUGAAAUGGUUCUCCCAUCCUAAACUUCAGUGAUUACAAUUGUCAUACAGUGUCUUGCUAGAGAGACAUUUUCAUUCGAGAUGAAUAUGUAUAGCCAAGCAGUGCUUUUAAAAAGCAAUUGUCUGAGGCUCUCUGUACUUGAGAUCUCGCUACUAGUUUCUCAUUAAAGUGAUUCAUGACAUUUUUCAAUUAGAUUCCUAUGUAUUUUUAAAAGCCAAUUUGCUUUCUACCUUUCAACAAAAUGAAUGAGUCAGUGUAUCAUGCAGACAGGUAUGGACUUGCAUAAUUCUCAGGUUCAAUGAUCCUUGGAUAGAACAGAGAAAAUGGGCAAGGACUUACAGCAGAAUCCAAGAAAACGUUACUUUUCCAAAAAAGAUAAAUUGGGAAAUAUACAUAAAGAGGUGAAAUACAUUUAACCCAUCCAUUCAGAAUAGACUGGUUAAUUAAGCAAGGCUCUGAAGCCAGACUUCUCAAGUUCAAAUCCUGACUCUACCACCACCUGCCCCCGUAGUCAAGCAAGGUUCUUCCACCUUCCAGGCCUGGGCUUUUUCACAUGCAACAGUGAUCACAGCUGAGUCCUGGGGUCUUUGGGAGGAUUCGAGGGGAUGUGGUCUGUCAGGCUUCGAGUUUAACAAACACUUAAUGAAUGUUGGUUAUCAUUACUCCUAAAAUAAUAUCCCUAAUUCAUCUAGAAUCAGUUUAUUUGUAACUUGUUCAUAAACUUGACCUUGAAGAUGAAUACAAAAGUAAUGACUUCGCGAGCUAUUGAAAAGUAUAGAAUGAUGUUUAUUAUCAUAGGGAAUUAAACACAGUGAAAAGAAAAUAUUUUUUGAAAAUUUUUUUAAUGAUAUUGCCGAAUGUCUUAAACCUAACCUAUAUGUAUAUUGCCUAUUUUCAUUGCUGUCACCAAUAGCUGAUGAGCUAUUGAAUUUUCUUGGUUUUCAGGCACCUACUUGACUUUAUUAAAUAUUUUGUGGUAUGCAUAUGAAAUAUAGAGCCCAUGGACCUAAGACUAUUUCUGUCUACUAGUUUUCUUUCUUCCUAAAAACAGAAAAGAGGGUUGCCUAUGGCCAAAAAAAGAAAAAAUCUUCUGUCUUCCUGUCAGCUCCUUCUGCUCCUAUCUCCAGGAUUCUGAAUUACAUAUUGACAUAAUUUACAUUUUCCCACUCUUAGUUUAAAAAAAUCGAGUUAAGUCAAAAGCUAAAAUGCAUCCCUUUUUAUAGCAGAAAAUUGCUUCUAUUGCUCAAAGCUAAUUUAAAACAAAAUCUAGUCAUCCUGAAAGACAUACGUGUGUAUGUGUGGAUAUAUAUAUAUAUUUUUUUUUAAUUUGGCUUCAGAUCGCUAGUCACUCAUAUUCCCACACAACACCUUUUUUAAAUGUAGUGUUUUCCUUGAAGAAGUGGGAAUAAAUCUUUAUUCUUGUUGCAAAGCAUUGCUCAACCCUGUGUUUAGUGUAGUACAUGGGAUUGGAUAGAUAACUAAUGUAUCUUUGUUGAAAGAAUAAGUGGAUAAUGUGUGAAUGAAUGAAUGAAUGACCGAAUGAAGUAAGGCAUUUCAAGCCUGAAUGGCAAAUAUUGUGUUUGCCUGACUUUUACCUUGUUCCUGUACACAUUUCCUAACCAUGUGUCUGCCUUCUAAUAUUAAAACUAAUAAAUACAAUUACUCACAUA